This 851-nucleotide ribosomal RNA is filed under the name uncultured bacterium. Its description in RNAcentral is "bacterial SSU rRNA". It matches the Rfam family "Bacterial small subunit ribosomal RNA", at positions 1 to 821 of the family's 1533-position model. The record is from RNAcentral.
GGAUCCAGACUUUGAUCCUGGCUCAGGACGAACGCUGGCGGCGUGCUUAACACAUGCAAGUCGUACGAGACGAUUGAAAGCUUGCUUUUGAAAGUCGAGUGGCAAACGGGUGAGUAACGCGUAGACAACCUGCCGUAAAGAUGGGGACAACAGUCCGAAAGGACUGCUAAUACCGAAUGUUGUGGAACUCCCGCAUGGGAGCUCCACUAAAGAUGGCCUCUACUUGUAAGCUAUCGCUUUACGAUGGGUCUGCGUCUGAUUAGCUAGUUGGUGGGGUAACGGCCUACCAAGGCGACGAUCAGUAGCCGGUCUGAGAGGAUGAACGGCCACAUUGGAACUGAGACACGGUCCAGACUCCUACGGGAGGCAGCAGUGGGGAAUCUUCCGCAAUGGGCGCAAGCCUGACGGAUCAACGCCGCGUGAGUGAAGAAGGGUUUCGACUCGUAAAGCUCUGUUGUCGGGGACGAACGUGGAGAUGGUGAAUAACCAUUUCCAAUGACGGUACCUGACGAGGAAGCCACGGCUAACUACGUGCCAGCAGCCGCGGUAAUACGUAGGUGGCGAGCGUUGUCCGGAAUUAUUGGGCGUAAAGGGAGCGCAGGCGGGAGAUCAAGUCUAUCUUAAAAGUGCGGGGCUCAACCCCGUGAGGGGAUGGAAACUGGUCUUCUUGAGUGCAGGAGAGGAAAGCGGAAUUCCUAGUGUAGCGGUGAAAUGCGUAGAUAUUAGGAGGAACACCAGUGGCGAAGGCGGCUUUCUGGGACUGUAACUGACGCUGAGGCUCGAAAGCGUGGGGGAGCGAACAGGAUUAGAUACCCCCGGUAGUCCACCGCCGUAAACGAUGAAUGCUAGGU